CUUACACAUGCAGUCAACUUGAAUUUGGGUUUUUUAACUUAGAUUUGGGUGGCGGACGGGUGAGUAACGCGUAAAGAACUUGCCUCACAGCUAGGGACAACAUUUGGAAACGAAUGCUAAUACCUGAUAUUAUGAUUUUAAGGCAUCUUAGAAUUAUGAAAGCUAUACGCGCUGUGAGAGAGCUUUGCGUCCCAUUAGCUAGUUGGAGAGGUAACGGCUCACCAAGGCGAUGAUGGGUAGCCGGCCUGAGAGGGUGAACGGCCACAAGGGGACUGAGACACGGCCCUUACUCCUACGGGAGACAGCAGUGGGGAAUAUUGGACAAUGGACCAAGAGUCUGAUCCAGCAAUUCUGUGUGCACGAUGACGUUUUUCGGAAUGUAAAGUGCUUUCAGUUGGGAAGAAAAAAAUGACGGUACCAACAGAAGAAGUGACGGCUAAAUACGUGCCAGCAGCCGCGGUAAUACGUAUGUCACGAGCGUUAUCCGGAUUUAUUGGGCGUAAAGCGCGUCUAGGUGGAUAUGUAAGUCUGAUGUGAAAAUGCAGGGCUCAACUCUGUAUUGCGUUGGAAACUGUGUAACUAGAGUACUGGAGAGGUAAGCGGAACUACAAGUGUAGAGGUGAAAUUCGUAGAUAUUUGUAGGAAUGCCGAUGGGGAAGCCAGCUUACUGGACAGAUACUGACGCUGAAGCGCGAAAGCGUGGGUAGCAAACAGGAUUAGAUACCCUGGUAGUCCACGCCGUAAACGAUGAUUACUAGGUGUUGGGGGUCGAACCUCAGCGCCCAAGCAAACGCGAUAAGUAAUCCGCCUGGGGAGUACGUACGCAAGUAUGAAACUCAAAGGAAUUGACGGGGACCCGCACAAGCGGUGGAGCAUGUGGUUUAAUUCGACGCAACGCGAGGAACCUUACCAGCGUUUGACAUCUUAGGAAAGAGACAGAGAUGU
RNAcentral lists this ribosomal RNA (945 nucleotides) under uncultured bacterium. RNAcentral describes it as "bacterial SSU rRNA". It matches the Rfam family "Bacterial small subunit ribosomal RNA", at positions 48 to 1009 of the family's 1533-position model. The record is from RNAcentral.